UACGGGAGGCAGCAGGGGGAAUAUUGCACAAUGGGCGCAAGCCUGAUGCAGCCAUGCCGCGUGUAUGAAAAAGGCCUUCGGGUUGUAAAGUACUUUCAGUCGUGAGGAAGGUGUUAAGGUUAAUAACCUUAGCAAUUGACGUUAGCGACAGAAGAAGCACCGGCUAACUCCGUGCCAGCAGCCGCGGUAAUACGGAGGGUGCGAGCGUUAAUCGGAAUUACUGGGCGUAAAGGGCACGCAGGCGGUUAAUUAAGUUGGAUGUGAAAUCCCCGGGCUUAACCUGGGAAUGGCAUUCAAGACUGGUUAGCUAGAGUCUUGUAGAGGGGGUAGAUUCCAUGUGUAGCGGUGAAAUGCGUAGAGAUGUGGAGGAAUACCGGUGGCGAAGGCGGCCCCUGGACAAAGACUGACGCUCAUGUGCGAAAGCGUGGGGAGCAAACAGGGAUUAGAUAC
This 450-nucleotide ribosomal RNA is filed under the name uncultured bacterium. RNAcentral's name for it is "bacterial SSU rRNA". It matches the Rfam family "Bacterial small subunit ribosomal RNA", at positions 340 to 785 of the family's 1533-position model. The record is from RNAcentral.